RNAcentral lists this ribosomal RNA (537 nucleotides) under Penicillium chrysogenum. Its description in RNAcentral is "eukaryotic LSU rRNA". The stretch from base 160 to 312 matches the Rfam family "5.8S ribosomal RNA". Lineage: Eukaryota; Fungi; Ascomycota; Eurotiomycetes; Eurotiales; Aspergillaceae. The record is from RNAcentral.
UCUGGGUCACCUCCCACCCGUGUUUAUUUACCUUGUUGCUUCGGCGGGCCCGCCUUAACUGGCCGCCGGGGGGCUUACGCCCCCGGGCCCGCGCCCGCCGAAUACACCCUCGAACUCUGUCUGAAGAUUGUAGUCUGAGUGAAAAUAUAAAUUAUUUAAAACUUUCAACAACGGAUCUCUUGGUUCCGGCAUCGAUGAAGAACGCAGCGAAAUGCGAUACGUAAUGUGAAUUGCAAAUUCAGUGAAUCAUCGAGUCUUUGAACGCACAUUGCGCCCCCUGGUAUUCCGGGGGGCAUGCCUGUCCGAGCGUCAUUGCUGCCCUCAAGCACGGCUUGUGUGUUGGGCCCCGUCCUCCGAUUCCGGGGGACGGGCCCGAAAGGCAGCGGCGGCACCGCGUCCGGUCCUCGAGCGUAUGGGGCUUUGUCACCCGCUCUGUAGGCCCGGCCGGCGCUUGCCGAUCAACCCAAAUUUUUAUCCAGGUUGACCUCGGAUCAAGUAGGGAUACCCGCUGAACUUAAGCAUAUCAAUAAGCGGAGA